GGUUCUAUAGCUCAGCUGGAUAGAGCAAACGUUUCCUAAACGUUAGGUCGGGAGUUCGAACCUCUCUAGGACCA
Transfer RNA from Carnobacterium iners, 74 nucleotides. It matches the Rfam family "tRNA". Rfam says of the family: Transfer RNA (tRNA) molecules are approximately 80 nucleotides in length. Their secondary structure includes four short double-helical elements and three loops (D, anti-codon, and T loops). Lineage: Bacteria; Bacillati; Bacillota; Bacilli; Lactobacillales; Carnobacteriaceae. The record is from Rfam.